UGUUCUGGAUCCCCUGGAAUGUUCUGGAAUUCCACGGAAGGGACUUGAUCCCCUAUGGAAAGUUCUGGAAUUCCACGGAAUGUUCUGGAUCCCCUGGAAUGUUCUGGAAUUCCACGGAAGCUUCUGGAUCCUUCUGGAAUGUUUUGGUCCCUUCUGGAAGCUUCUGGAUCCACUGG
Vidua macroura (Pin-tailed whydah) is the source of this 176-nucleotide long non-coding RNA. RefSeq lists it as uncharacterized. The record is from RefSeq and is a predicted model, not a curated record. NCBI's taxonomy places the organism in Eukaryota, Metazoa, Chordata, Aves, Passeriformes, Viduidae. The transcript has 3 exons.